RNAcentral lists this ribosomal RNA (464 nucleotides) under Ctenophora environmental sample. RNAcentral's name for it is "partial Bacterial large subunit ribosomal RNA". It matches the Rfam family "Bacterial large subunit ribosomal RNA", at positions 1587 to 2091 of the family's 2925-position model. The record is from RNAcentral. Lineage: Eukaryota; Metazoa; Ctenophora.
GUAUUUAAAUAAAUUAAGUUAACUGGAAAAAACCCAAAUGUAGGUCGUAUUAAAACUGACACCGGUGGAUGAGUAGAGUAUACUAAGAUAACGAAUGAAUAGUGUUGAAGGAACUCGGCAAAUUAGUCCCGUAACUUAGGGAGAAGGGAUGCCUUUAAAGGUUACAAUAAAGUGGGGAUAGCGACUGUUUAAUAAAAACACAAAAUCCUGCAAAGUUGAAAAAUGAGGUAUAGGAUUUGACUUCUGCCCAGUGCUGCAAAAUGAAAAUAAUAAAUAUAGUUUAUUAAUAAAUUCCAGUAAACGGCGGCCGUAAUUCUGACGGUCCAAAGGUAGCGAAAUUCCUUGGCGGGUAAGUUCCGUCCUGCAUGAAUGAAGUAACGACUGUCCCACUGUCUCCAACACUAUUUCGGUGAAAAUGAAAUUGUCGUGCAGAUGCGAUAAAGUACAGUAAGACGAGAAGACCC